Molecule: long non-coding RNA, 315 nt
Filed under: Populus tremula
Lineage: Eukaryota; Viridiplantae; Streptophyta; Magnoliopsida; Malpighiales; Salicaceae
Description: long non-coding RNA (PTRE_LNC002069)
Source: RNAcentral
CAUUUUUUGCCUUCAAGUUUAUCGAUUUUUUAUUUUGUGCACAAAGGGAGAGGCUUGGCAAUAUGUGGUCCAAUGAUAUUGUCAAGUUCCAAGGCUUUCAUCUACCCUCAUGAUCUAUGACCUUAACAACAUGAGAUCUGCAUUCAGUUCCCCAAUUGUAUGGCUACAAGGAUUGUUCUAGGUAUAGGUUUGGGUGUAGAAUAGAUAAACAGGGGAUGGAGAGGGAAAGAGAAAGUAAUGAUAGUGAGAUUAACAUGUAGAUUUGAAUAUUGAUGUCAACAUAAAUGAUGAUGUUGCUAAUUUUUCAUGUGUUUU